GACGAACGCUGGCGGCGUGCUUAACACAUGCAAGUCGAACGGGCCCGCUCUCUUUUUUGGGGGUGGGUUGAGUGGCGAACGGGUGAGUAUCACGUGAGUAACCUGCCCCCUGCUCCUGGAUAACUGCUUGAAAGGGCGGCUAAUACGGGGUGUGCCGGCUGGUCCGCAUGGGCCUGGUCGGGAUAGUUUCAUCUUCGGGUGUUUCGGUGGGGGAUGGGCUCGCGGCCUAUGAGCUUGUUGGUGGGGGGAUGGCCCACCAGGGCGGUGACGGGUCGCCGGCCUGAGGGGGUGGGCGGCUCCACGGGGACGGGGACACGGCCCAGCCUCCUGCGGGAGGCAGCGGUGGGGGGUAUUGCACGAGGGGCGGAAGCCUGAUGCAGCGACGUCGCGUGAGGGAUGGGGGCCUUCGGGUUGUGAACCUCUUUCUCCGGUGGUGAAGGCCCUGUCCGUUGCGGCGGGGUUGACGGUAGCCGGGUAUGAAGCGCCGGCUAACUACGUG
This 499-nucleotide ribosomal RNA is filed under the name uncultured bacterium. RNAcentral describes it as "partial 16S ribosomal RNA". It matches the Rfam family "Bacterial small subunit ribosomal RNA", at positions 28 to 507 of the family's 1533-position model. The record is from RNAcentral.